RNAcentral lists this ribosomal RNA (264 nucleotides) under uncultured archaeon. RNAcentral's name for it is "partial 16S ribosomal RNA". It matches the Rfam family "Archaeal small subunit ribosomal RNA", at positions 717 to 982 of the family's 1478-position model. The record is from RNAcentral.
AGUCACUGACAUUAGAUACCCGUGUAGUCCCAGCUGUAAACGAUGCAGACUAGGUGUUUGGACGGCCACGUGCCGCUCUAGUGCCGCAGGGAAGCUGUUAAGUCUGCCGCCUGGGGAGUACGAUCGCAAGAUUGAAACUUAAAGGAAUUGGCGGGGAGCACCACAAGGGGUGAAGCUUGCGGUUUAAUUGGAUUCAACGCCGGAAAUCUUACCGGGACCGACAGCAACAUGAAGGCCAAGCUGAAGACUUUGCCGGAUUAGCUG